RNAcentral lists this ribosomal RNA (466 nucleotides) under uncultured bacterium. RNAcentral's name for it is "partial 16S ribosomal RNA". It matches the Rfam family "Bacterial small subunit ribosomal RNA", at positions 28 to 507 of the family's 1533-position model. The record is from RNAcentral.
GACGAACGCUGGCGCCGUGCUUAACAUAUGCAAGUCGAACGGAAAGGCGCUGCUUGUAGGGUACUCGAGUGGCGAACGGGUGUGUAACACGGGGGCGAUCUGCCCUGCACUUCGGGUUACGCCUGGGCAAAUGGGGCUAAUACCGCAGAGGAGCCCUAUUCAGAGCGACGGGUGGAAAGUUUUUUUCGGUGUAGGAUGAGCUCGAGGCCUAUCAGCUUGUUGUUGGGGUAAUGGCCUACCAAGGCGAGGACGGGUAGCCGGCCUGAGAGGGUGGACGGCCCCAUUGGGACUGAGAUACGGCCCAGACUCCUACUGGAGGCAGCCGGGGUGGAUAUUGCACGACGGGCGCCAGCCUGAUGCAGCGGCGCCGCGUGGGGGAUGACAGCCUUCGGGUUGGGAGCUCCUUUCGCUAGGGACGAAGCUUUUUGUGACGGUACCUAGAUAAGAAGCACCGGCUAGCUACGUG